GACGAACGCUGGCGGCGUGCUUAACACAUGCAAGUCGAACGGAAAGGCCCUGCUUUUGUGCGGUGCUCGAGUGCCGAACGGGUGAGUAACACGUGAGUAACCUGCCCUUGACUUUGGGAUAACUUCAGGAAACUGGGGCUAAUACCGUAUAGGAUCUCCUGCUGCAUGGUGGGGGUUGGAAAUUUUCGGCGGUUGGGGAUGGACUCGCGGCUUAUCAGCUUGUUGGUGGGGUAGUGGCUUACCAAGGCUUUGACGGGUAGCCGGCCUGAGAGGGUGACCGGCCACAUUGGGACUGCGAUACGGCGCAGACUCCUACGGGAGGCAGCAGUGGGGAAUAUUGCACAAUGGGCGGAAGCCUGAUGCAGCAACGCCGCGUGCGGGAUGACGGCCUUCGGGCUGUAAACCGCUUUCGCCUGUGACGAAGCGUGAGUGACGGUAAUGGGUAAAGAAGCACCGGCUAACUACGUG
Molecule: ribosomal RNA, 468 nt
Filed under: uncultured bacterium
Lineage: Bacteria
Description: partial 16S ribosomal RNA
Rfam family: Bacterial small subunit ribosomal RNA
Source: RNAcentral